This 249-nucleotide ribosomal RNA is filed under the name Bacillus cereus group sp. N8. RNAcentral describes it as "partial 16S ribosomal RNA". It matches the Rfam family "Bacterial small subunit ribosomal RNA", at positions 1092 to 1342 of the family's 1533-position model. Lineage: Bacteria; Bacillati; Bacillota; Bacilli; Caryophanales; Bacillaceae. The record is from RNAcentral.
ACGAGCGCAACCCUUGAGCCUAGUUGCCAUCAUUAAGUGGGGCACUCUAAGGUGACUGCCGGUGACAAACCGGAGGAAGGUGGUGAUGACGUCAAAUCAUCAUGCCCCUUAUGACCUGGGCUACACACGUGCUACAAUGGACGGUACAAAGAGCUGAAAGACCGCGAGGUGGAGCUAAUCUCAUAAAACACAUCUCAGUUCGGAUUGUAGGCUCCACCUCGCGUACAUGCACCUGGAAUCGCUAGUAAU